This 253-nucleotide ribosomal RNA is filed under the name uncultured bacterium. RNAcentral describes it as "partial 16S ribosomal RNA". It matches the Rfam family "Bacterial small subunit ribosomal RNA", at positions 524 to 776 of the family's 1533-position model. The record is from RNAcentral.
GACAGAGGGUGCAAACGUUGUUCGGAAUUACUGGGCGUAAAGCGAGUGUAGGCGGUUUCCUAAGUCGGAUGUGAAAGCCCCGGGCUCAACCCGGGAAGUGCACUCGAGACUGGGAGGCUAGAGUAUCGGAGAGGUUGGUGGAAUUCUCGGUGUAGAGGUGAAAUUCGUAGAUAUCGAGAGGAACACCGGUGGCGAAGGCGGCCAACUGGACGAAUACUGACGCUGAGACUCGAAAGCGUGGGGAGCAAACAGG